RNA transcript from Photinus pyralis (common eastern firefly), 1924 nucleotides. RefSeq lists it as uncharacterized. The record is from RefSeq and is a predicted model, not a curated record. The transcript has 16 exons. NCBI's taxonomy places the organism in Eukaryota, Metazoa, Arthropoda, Insecta, Coleoptera, Lampyridae.
CACAAAAAGUACUCAAUGUAAACACCUCUAACUUCAUGAUUCCAACCAUUCAAUACACACAUAUAUAUAAGAGAAGAAGUAUAUAUAUGAAUACACACAGGGUUUUGUCAUAUUACCUUUUGACAUUUUAAAACACGUGUAGGUACAUGUUUUGUUUAUGUAAGUUAAAUGUUGAUCAACUUGAAUACCUAGCAACUUCACACAGAAACUAGGAUAAUCUGCACAGAUUUGUCACAUAGACUAAUGGAUAAAGGAUGAAAUCGUUCUCAACAUUUGGAGAAUCAGCACAGAUUUGUCCCUUAGACCAAUGGAUAAAGGAUGAAAUCGUUCUCAACAUUUGCAGAAUCAGCACAGAUUUGUCCCUUAGACCAAUGGAUAAAGGACGAAAUCGUAUUCAACAUUCGGAGAAUCGGCACAGAUUUGUCUCAUGGACUAACGGAUAAAGGACGAAAUCGUAUUCAACAUUCGGAGAAUCGGCACAGAUUUGUCUCAUGGACUAACGGAUAAAGGACGAAAUCGUAUUCAACAUUCGGAGAAUCGGCACAGAUUUGUCUCAUGGACUAACGGAUAAAGGAUGAAAUCGUUCUCAACAUUUGCAGAAUCAGCACAGAUUUGUCCCUUAGACCAAUGGAUAAAGGACGAAAUCGUAUUCAACAUUCGGAGAAUCGGCACAGAUUUGUCUCAUGGACUAACGGAUAAAGGAUGAAAUCGUUCUCAACAUUUGGAGAAUCAGCACAGAUUUGUCCCUUAGACCAAUGGAUAAAGGACGAAAUCGUAUUCAACAUUCGGAGAAUCGGCACAGAUUUGUCUCAUGGACUAACGGAUAAAGGAUGAAAUCGUUCCCAACAUUUGGAGAAUCAGCACAGAUUUGUCCCUUAGACCAAUGGAUAAAGGAUGAAAUCGUUCUCAACAUUUGCAGAAUCAGCACAGAUUUGUCCCUUAGACCAAUGGAUAAAGGAUGAAAUCGUUCUCAACAUUUGCAGAAUCAGCACAGAUUUGUCCCUUAGACCAAUGGAUAAAGGAUGAAAUCGUUCUCAACAUUUGGAGAAUCAGCACAGAUUUGUCCCUUAGACCAAUGGAUAAAGGAUGAAAUCGUAUUCAACAUUCGGAGAAUCGGCACAGACUUGUCACGUAGACCACUGGAUGGAGGUUUGUGUCAAUUAUGAAUGGACACACACUUCUAUAUCGUCAUGUAGGGACAUAAAUAUUGUCACUACAGGAAGUGAAGAUGGUUUUAUUAACGGGUCGAACUAACUUUCAUGGCAAAGAAGAAUACAUCAGAAUAUCACAACGAAUUGGACGGAACUUUUUUCAUAACUUGGUUUAAAACUAAACUUUUUCCUAAUACUUAUUCCCGAGAAAACUGUUGUGGUAAUGGAUAAUGCGUCGUAUCAGUCCAGGAAGUGUGGAAAGUGAUACAAACAAUUUUGUAAAGGAGGAAAUAUUAAAUGGGCUGCGUUCAAAGGAUAUCUAUUUCAAAGAAGGCUACUGAAAAUCCGAGCUGUUUUGGAUCUAGUAUCCUAAUGUGUGUUGGAGUGAAGUCAUAGGAUAUGUGGCAAAACAUUACCCAAAUUUAAAAAAAAAGACGUAGAAAACCUAAUACAUGAAGUUUUUUCUCAAGUUAUUCCACAAAAAUCAAAUAAUUACCUACCAUGCAAACAUAUAAUUAAGAGUAGAGAAAAGUCAUUGUGGAAUAUUGAUUAUUUAACCGAUUUAACGGACAAUAUUAUUAACCCAGUUAUACUUAAUUAACGUUAAUGAUGGCAGUGAUAGGGAUAGUAAAGCCAACAGUAUGGAAUAAACUGAAGUACGUUUACGUGUGUAGUUGAAAUGUUUUAUAAUUAUACCUAUACUUAUUUACUACGAUCAUUUUCUUAUUUUUAAAUGUAUGCCUAUAUAAAUCUAUACAUUUGUUUUCAUUUUA